RNAcentral lists this long non-coding RNA (432 nucleotides) under Homo sapiens (human). RNAcentral describes it as "HSALNT0347966". Lineage: Eukaryota; Metazoa; Chordata; Mammalia; Primates; Hominidae. The record is from RNAcentral.
GCCGGGAGGAUGGCUAAGCUGCUUCUGGCUUUCUGCUGCCUUGUGCCAAUAAAGGAAGGGCCUCCCUGAUGGUGCUCCUGGCCUUCAAAGCAAUCUCAUACUGAAAGCUGGUGCUUCAGUUACAUGCACUCAAAGGAGAAGAAUCUACUUUGAAUGGAAAGCUCCCGGGUAUUCCCACACCUUCUUUGUUUGUCUAAGGCCAUGGCUCUGCAGAGCUGCAAUAAACCUGCGUACCCACCCUGCAGAAGGACUGGGCCACAGCUAGCUUGUAAAACAAAACUAAGUCACCAAAUUUAUUUCCUUUAACACAGUCUCUUAGCAGAACCUUUCUAUGCUGACUGUGGCCUUGGCUCAAGCAACAGCAAUUGCAGCUCCUGCUGGUUCUACUAAGGAGAGCUUCGCUCUUGUGACCAGGCUGGAGUACAAUGGCAC